AUGUGGCCAGUUUCUCCAAAUCCUAGGCCACAAGCACCUGGAUAUGUGAAAAUGCCAGGCAGGCCUUCUAACAAUGACAGGAAGAGGGAAAAAACAGAGAAGCCGAAGGGUAAUAAAAUGAGCAAAUAUGGAACUGUGAUCAAGUGUUCAUUGUGUGGUAGCAUUGGACACAACAAGUCUAGCUGCAAAAAGAAUCCAGAGAGAGGAAAGAAAAAGAAUGCACACCUAGUUAAGAGCAAGAAAGCAGAGGUAUGUUUCCUGCAUUUUAGAUGA
Molecule: ribosomal RNA, 273 nt
Filed under: Triticum aestivum (bread wheat)
Lineage: Eukaryota; Viridiplantae; Streptophyta; Magnoliopsida; Poales; Poaceae
Description: partial small subunit ribosomal RNA
Source: RNAcentral